Molecule: ribosomal RNA, 438 nt
Filed under: uncultured bacterium
Lineage: Bacteria
Description: SSU rRNA
Rfam family: Bacterial small subunit ribosomal RNA
Source: RNAcentral
AGGAUGAACGCUGGCGGCGUGCCUAAGACAUGCAAGUCGAGUGGGUUUAGGCCCACGGCGAACGGGUGAGUAAUACCUAGGAACUUUUUUCAAGUCGAGGAUAUCCUUCCGAAAGGAAGUGCAAUACUUGAUGUGGCAGCAAUGCUAAAGGAGCAAUCCGCUUGAAGCGAGGCCUGGGCACCAUCAGCUAGUUGGUAAGGUAAUGGCUUACCAAGGCUUUGACGGUUAGCGGAUCUGAGAGGAUGGCCCGCCACACUGGGACUGCGACACGGCCCAGACUCCUACGGGAGGCAGCAGUUUGGAAUUUGGCAAUGGGGGAAACCCUGAACCAGCGACGCCGCGUGGACGAAGAGGCCUUCGGGUCGUAAGUCCUUUAGCAGGGAAAAUUUUGAUUGUACCUGCAGAAUAAGAGGUUGCUAACUCUGCGCCAGCAGCCGC